This is a non-coding RNA of Pimephales promelas (fathead minnow), 274 nucleotides long. The record is from RefSeq and is a predicted model, not a curated record. Lineage: Eukaryota; Metazoa; Chordata; Actinopteri; Cypriniformes; Leuciscidae.
CAGGUACAUAAAGUGUACUGUUAAAUGUAUUUAUAGUUUAUUAGAAUUCCCACAAAAUUGUUUGUUGACAUAUACCUGAUAUUACUGCCUAAGUGGAGUCGAGUGUCUUUCCCUUUAAUUGAUGUGAUGUCAUGAGUCAAUAUAAUUUCCUGUUCUGUCUCCUCCUCUUCCUCUUUGCACUGGUGAUGCAGUGAGAGAGCUAGAGAGGGCGAUUCUCACUAAGAGGCUGAUUACAUUUUAUUUGUGCAUCAGAAUAAAAGAUCGCUGAAACUGC